Molecule: ribosomal RNA, 365 nt
Filed under: uncultured Acidobacteriota bacterium
Lineage: Bacteria; Pseudomonadati; Acidobacteriota
Description: bacterial SSU rRNA
Rfam family: Bacterial small subunit ribosomal RNA
Source: RNAcentral
ACGGCUAGUGACAGGAGAUGAAAGUUUCUUUUCCCGCAAGGGACACUAGCCGAGGUGCUGCAUGGCUGUCGUCAGCUCGUGUCGUGAGAUGUUAGGUUAAAUCCCGCAACGAGCGCAACCCCUGCCUUUAGUUGCUAACACGUUAUGGUGAGCACUCUAGAGGGACUGCCGGUGAAAAACCGGAGGAAGGUGGGGAUGACGUCAAGUCCUCAUGGCCUUUAUGUCCAGGGCUACACACGUACUACAAUGGGCGGCACAAUGAGUCGCAAACCCGCAAGGGGGAGCCAAUCUCAAAAAACCGUUCUCAGUUCGGAUUUUCUCCCCACUAGUAGAGCUCCAUGAAGCUGGAAUCGCUAGUAAUCGCU